GAGGGUAUAGCUCAGUGGUAGAGUGCCUGCCUAGUAUGUGCGAGGUCCUGGGUUCAAUCCCCAGUACCUCCA
This 72-nucleotide transfer RNA is filed under the name Camelus bactrianus (Bactrian camel). It matches the Rfam family "tRNA". Rfam says of the family: Transfer RNA (tRNA) molecules are approximately 80 nucleotides in length. Their secondary structure includes four short double-helical elements and three loops (D, anti-codon, and T loops). Lineage: Eukaryota; Metazoa; Chordata; Mammalia; Artiodactyla; Camelidae. RNAcentral also lists the same sequence under 2 other names. The record is from Rfam by way of RNAcentral.